UCUGGUCUUUAGAGGAAGUAAAAGUCGUAACAAGGUUACCUUCUGCAGUGCGCUCCGGAGRCCUUGCAGCCCWARGGGGAGGCAGCACGACUGUAAAUAAGCUCGCCGCGUGCAAGUUGGCCAAAMGGGUCAGCAACACAAUCGAAUUGCGGGGACCUCCUAAAGCCUGCAACACCAACCGUCCGGGGAAACUCGGGCGGGCCCUCAUGGGGUGGUAAGAGAGUGCAGGAUGAACAAUGGACAAUCCCAGCGAAGACCCUACCGGCGAGAGCCCACGGGUACCGUUCACAGACUAAUGAUUGUGGGCGAGGCAUCAUGCCCCGUCUAAGAUAUAGUCGGUCCCUGCCGAAAGGACAGGGCAUAGCGCGUCCGUAGGUGAACCUGCGGAAGGAUCUUAAAGAAUCGCCCCGUUUUUUGAAAUGGGUUCUAUUCCCAAACCGUGUUACAUACCUUUGUUGCUUUGGCAGGCCGCCUUCUAGGCGUCGGCUUCGGUGACUGCGCUUGCCAGAGGACCCAAACUCGUUUGUUUAGUGAUGUCUGAUACUAUAUAAUAGUUAAAACUUUCAACAACGGAUCUCUUGGUUCUGGCACGAUGAAGAACGCAGCGAAAUGCGAUAAGUAAUGUGAAUUGCAGAAUUCGUGAAUCAUCGAAUCUUUGAACGCACAUUGCGCCCCUUGGUAUUCCGAGGGCAUGCCUGUUCGAGCGUCAUUAUAACCACUCAAGCCUCGGCUUGGUCUGGGGUUCGCGGUUCCGCGGCCCUUAAAAUUAGUGGCGGUGCCGUCUGGUCUAAGCGUAGUAAUUCUCUCGCUAUAGGGUCCCGGCGGUUACCUGUCAAACCCCCUCAUUUUUUACGGUUGACCUCGGAUCAGGUAGGGAUACCCGCGAMCUUAAGCAUAUCAAUAAGCGGAGGA
Molecule: ribosomal RNA, 912 nt
Filed under: uncultured fungus
Lineage: Eukaryota; Fungi
Description: eukaryotic LSU rRNA
Rfam family: 5.8S ribosomal RNA (bases 559-709)
Source: RNAcentral